GAUGAAGAACGUAGCGAAAUGCGAUAAGUAGUGUGAAUUGCAGAAUUCAGUGAAUCAUCGAAUCUUUGAACGCACAUUGCGCCCCCUGGUAUUCCGGGGGGCAUGCCUGUCCGAGCGUCAUUGCUGCCCUCAAGCACGGCUUGUGUGUUGGGCCCCGUCCUCCGAUCCCGGGGGACGGGCCCGAAAGGCAGCGGCGGCACCGCGUCCGGUCCUCGAGCGUAUGGGGCUUUGUCACCCGCUCUGUAGGCCCGGCCGGCGCUUGCCGAUCAACCCAAAUUUUUUAUCCAGGUUGACCUCGGAUCAGGUAGGGAUACCCGCUGAACUUAAGCAUAUCAAUAAGCGGAGGA
Molecule: unclassified non-coding RNA, 347 nt
Filed under: soil metagenome
Description: partial contains 5.8S ribosomal RNA, internal transcribed spacer 2, and large subunit ribosomal RNA
Rfam family: 5.8S ribosomal RNA (bases 1-120)
Source: RNAcentral